AAAGCAAAACAAUUACAUUUUUUCUUUUAGUUUUAUAAACUAAUGAAAUUAAUCUGUUCCAACUCAAUCAGUUGUUUCAUACUGGAAAAUGUCACACAUCGGGGCUUUUAGGAAGGAAUCAUUGCCGUGCCUUGGUGAAGGGUGAGUAUGGCUUUAACAACUGCUGGUGGAGGAGCCUUGGAGGAAAGAACAGGAUAGUAAAUGCAAUUGCUUGUCUCCUGAGAGUUAACUCACAGUCCAGAUGUCCUACCACCUAUCUACCUGUAGUCUGAAGGCACUUUGUGAGUAAUAAAAGCAUGUAAAUUGUAAAUUCUUCUCCUUUUCUCUUUCAAUAUCUUACAAUGUAUCAAUGACAAUUGCUAUUGUUAUUGGUAACAGGUUGAUGUCAUACCGAAGGCUUUGGAGCCAAAAAAGCUUGUGUUUGAACUCCGGCCCCACCAUUGUAUGGUCUUAGACAAAUGACUUAACCUCUUUAAGCCUUGAUGUCCAUACUGUAAAAAACGAGACAAUAAAACCUACUUAUUGUAAGGAUAUAAUGACAUUAUUAACAUAUCUAUUCUAUUGCCUGAUGCAUAGCAUAAGCUCAAAAAUACUAGUUUUCCUAUUCUAAAAUGUUUAAAAAAAAUUAUAAUCCAUACCUCUUCUACUUCAGAAAGUGUUUUAAUACAUAAAAGCAGUGAUUUAGCAAUAUCAAAUCGAAGUUUGAGAGCCAGAAGAACUUGGAGGACCAUUGAUUUUAAAGGUUUCUUUGUUUUUUAUGAACAACAGGAAUUUCCUCUUAUGUCUUCAGAACCUUGAGUUUACCAGGAAGACAAGGUGACUGAGAUACUUCUUUAAGCCCAGAAACUGAAGAAGGCAGCUGUCAGGGAUGGCUUGGAAUGUUCUACAAGUAACUAAAAAAGUUUCCAGCUCUCCUGUCACAAAGUGGCUAUUGAGACUUCAAAUGUCAGAUGAUCUCCUUUGAAGCAGCAAAAUAGAGUGGAUAGAACUCCAGGAUGGAUGUCAAAAAACUCUGUGAUCCUAGUUCUAACUCAAAUUUACCUUUCAUAUGGUAUGAGGUUGGCAACAAAUGAUUCAUGGACCACCACUCAUCUAUAGACCAGACAUUAGUAAGAUGUGCUUGCUUCUCCUUCG
Molecule: long non-coding RNA, 1134 nt
Filed under: Homo sapiens (human)
Lineage: Eukaryota; Metazoa; Chordata; Mammalia; Primates; Hominidae
Description: HSALNT0367774
Source: RNAcentral